UGGUUUUGAAGAUAGGUUACCUUAAUUCUCGGUUUAUUAAGUGGAUAAUUCAAUUUGAAUCUACGGAUGUUCUUAAGCUGCAAAGAGAGAUUGUGAUUCUGAGGCAACCA
This is a small nucleolar RNA of Arabidopsis thaliana (thale cress), 110 nucleotides long. NCBI's taxonomy places the organism in Eukaryota, Viridiplantae, Streptophyta, Magnoliopsida, Brassicales, Brassicaceae. The record is from RefSeq.